UACGUAGGGUGCAAGCGUUGUCCGGAAUUAUUGGGCGUAAAGAGCUCGUAGGCGGUUCGUCGCGUCGGCUGUGAAAUCCCGAGGCUCAACUCCGGGCCUGCAGUCGAUACGGGCAGACUGGAGUUCGGCAGGGGAGACUGGAAUUCCUGGUGUAGCGGUGAAAUGCGCAGAUAUCAGGAGGAACACCGGUGGCGAAGGCGGGGUCUCUGGGGCCGAUACUGACGCUGAGGAGCGAAAGCGUGGGGAGCGAACAGG
This 255-nucleotide ribosomal RNA is filed under the name uncultured bacterium. RNAcentral describes it as "partial 16S ribosomal RNA". It matches the Rfam family "Bacterial small subunit ribosomal RNA", at positions 524 to 776 of the family's 1533-position model. The record is from RNAcentral.